Molecule: unclassified non-coding RNA, 181 nt
Organism: Chelonoidis abingdonii (Abingdon island giant tortoise)
Lineage: Eukaryota; Metazoa; Chordata; Testudines; Testudinidae
Source: Ensembl
CUAUCAACCCUGGAGAUUAAAGCCAUCUGUCUCGUCACAGAGCAGAUCCAGCACUGGCAGUGGCAGUGCAAGCUGACCCACAAAUGCCCUGCUGUUGUGUCUCAACAUCAAUCUGGAAGCACUGCCUAUAAUGAAGAGAUGCUAGGACAAUCCUCCUAGCUCAUUUAAGUCCAGGGCCCCA